Molecule: transfer RNA, 65 nt
Filed under: Cephenemyia stimulator
Lineage: Eukaryota; Metazoa; Arthropoda; Insecta; Diptera; Oestridae
Also listed under: 1 other name
Description: tRNA-Leu
Source: RNAcentral
ACUAUUUUGGCAGAUUAGUGCAAUAAAUUUAGAAUUUAUUUAUGUAAUUUAUAUUACAAGUAGUA